UGGGGAAUAUUGCGCAAUGGGGGGAACCCUGACGCAGCCAUGCCGCGUGAAUGAAGAAGGCCUUAGGGUUGUAAAGUUCUUUCGGUAUUGAGGAAGGUUGAUGUGUUAAUAGCACAUCAAAUUGACGUUAAAUACAGAAGAAGCACCGGCUAACUCCGUGCCAGCAGCCGCGGUAAUACGGAGGGUGCGAGCGUUAAUCGGAAUAACUGGGCGUAAAGGGCACGCAGGCGGUUAUUUAAGUGAGGUGUGAAAGCCCCGGGCUUAACCUGGGAAUCGCAUUUCAGACUGGGUAACUAGAGUACUUUAGGGAGGGGUAGAAUUCCACAUGUAGCGGUGAAAUGCGUAGAGAUGUGGAGGAAUACCGAAGGCGAAGGCAGCCCCUUGGGAAUGUACUGACGCUCAUGUGCGAAAGCGUGGGGAGCAAACAGGGAUUAGAUACCCUGGUAGUCCACGCUGUAAACGCUGUCGAUUUGGGGGUUGGGGUUUAACUCUGGCGCCCGUAGCUAACGUGAUAAAUCGACCGCCUGGGGAGUACGGCCGCAAGGUUA
RNAcentral lists this ribosomal RNA (548 nucleotides) under uncultured bacterium. RNAcentral describes it as "bacterial SSU rRNA". It matches the Rfam family "Bacterial small subunit ribosomal RNA", at positions 355 to 896 of the family's 1533-position model. The record is from RNAcentral.